AAGACCUUGCGCUUUUGGAGCGGCCGAUGCCUGAUUAGCUAGUUGGUGGGGUAAUGGCCUACCAAAGCUUCGAUCAGUAGCUGGUCUGAGAGGACGGCCAGCCACACUGGGACUGAGACACGGCCCAGACUCCUACGGGAGGCAGCAGUGGGGAAUUUUGGACAAUGGGCGCAAGCCUGAUCCAGCCAUGCCGCGUGAGUGAAGAAGGCCUUCGGGUUGUAAAGCUCUUUCAGCCGGGAAGAAAAGGUUGCGAUUAAUAAUCGCAAUUUAUGACGGUACCGGAAGAAGAAGCACCGGCUAACUACGUGCCAGCAGCCGCGGUAAUACGUAGGGUGCGAGCGUUAAUCGGAAUUACUGGGCGUAAAGGGUGCGCAGGCGGUUUUGUAAGUCAGAUGUGAAAUCCCCGGGCUUAAACUGGGAACU
This 423-nucleotide ribosomal RNA is filed under the name uncultured bacterium. RNAcentral describes it as "bacterial SSU rRNA". It matches the Rfam family "Bacterial small subunit ribosomal RNA", at positions 207 to 622 of the family's 1533-position model. The record is from RNAcentral.